AUGCUCACUUCGGCAACACAUAUAUUAAAAUUGGAACAGAGAUUAGCAUGGCCUCUGUGCAAGGAUGACACGUAAACUUGUGAAGCGUUUCAUUUUUUU
This is a small nuclear RNA of Colobus angolensis palliatus, 99 nucleotides long. NCBI's taxonomy places the organism in Eukaryota, Metazoa, Chordata, Mammalia, Primates, Cercopithecidae. The record is from Ensembl.